UCUCUCGUAGUACAAUGGUUAGUACCGCCGCUUCGUCACGCGAUAUUGUGCUCUGGGUGCAUAUGUCGGAGAUUGGGCAGGGUCUGGGUUCGAAUCCCAGCGAGAGGC
Non-coding RNA from Pluteus cervinus, 108 nucleotides. Lineage: Eukaryota; Fungi; Basidiomycota; Agaricomycetes; Agaricales; Pluteaceae. The record is from the annotation of a GenBank genome assembly.